This 1381-nucleotide ribosomal RNA is filed under the name uncultured prokaryote. Its description in RNAcentral is "partial 16S ribosomal RNA". It matches the Rfam family "Bacterial small subunit ribosomal RNA". The record is from RNAcentral.
CGAACGCUGGCGGCAUGGUUAAAACAUGCAAGUCGAACGCGAAAGUACCUUCGGGUGCGAGUAGAGUGGCGAAAGGGCGAGGAAUAUGUUUCUACGUACCCCCAAGGGCAGGGAUAGCAUCGGGAAACCGGUGCUUCUGGAAACGGGAGGUAAUACUUUAUGUGCUCUACGGAGGAAAGGUUUACCGCCUUGGGAGCGGCGAUUAUCCUAUCAGGUAGUUGGUGAGGUAAAGGCUCACCAAGCCGAAGACGGGUAGCGGGUGUGAGAGCAUGACCCGCCGCAUCGGGACCGAGACACUGCCCGGACUCCUACGGGAGGCUGCAGUAACGAAUCUUCCGCAAUGGGCGAAAGCCUGACGGAGCAAUGCGCGUGUAGGAUUAAGCAUCUUCGAUGUGUAAACUACUGUCAAUGACUAGAAACAACGAUCAGUCAUAAAGGAAGGACCGGCUAAUUCAGUGCCAGCAGCCGCGGUAAUACUGAAGGUCCAAGCGUUAAUCGGAAUCACUGGGCUUAAAGCGUACGCAGGCGGAUUUGUAGGUAUUUUGUGAAAUCCCACGGCUCAACCGUGGAACUGCAGAGUAAACCACAAAUCUUGAGACAAGUAGGGGUCAGUGGAACCAUGAGUGGAGCGGUGAAAUGCAUAGAUAUUCAUGGGAACGCCAAUGGCGAAGGCAACUGACUGGGCUUGUUCUGACGCUCAGGUACGAAAGCGUGGGUAGCGAACGGGAUUAGAUACCCCGGUAGUCCACGCCGUAAACGAUGCACACUAGGUCGCGGAGCCUCUCAUGGUCUCGCUGGCCGAAGCGAAAGUGUUAAGUGCACCGCCUGGGGAGUACGGUCGCAAGGCUAAAACUCAAAGGAAUUGACGGGGGCUCACACAAGCGGUGGAGCAUGUGGCUUAAUUCGAAGCAACGCGAAGAACCUUAUCCUGGGUUUGACAUGUAUGGAUUAACUCCGUGAAAGCGGGAGCCACGCCUUCGGGUGGAACAUACACAGGUGCUGUAUGGCUGUCGUCAGCUCGUGCUGUGAAGUGUCGGGUUAAGGCCCUUAACGAGCGAAACCCCUGCCGCUAGUUGCCAACAGAUAAUGCUGGGGACUCUAGCGGGACUGCCGGCGUCAAACCGGAGGAAGGUGGGGAUGACGUCAAGUCCUCAUGGCCUUUAUGCCCAGGGCUGCACACGUGCUACAAUGGCGCCAAUAAAGCGAAGCAAUACCGCAAGGUGGAGCAAAUCGCAAAAAAGGCGCCCCAGUUCGGAUUGGAGUCUGCAACUCGACUCCAUGAAGGUGGAAUCGCUAGUAAUCGCGUAUCAUCAAUGACGCGGUGAUAAGUUCCUGAGCCUUGUACACACCGCCCGUCACGUCAUGGAAGCCGGAGUUACCU